UACGGAGGGUGCAAGCGUUAUCCGGAUUUACUGGGUUUAAAGGGUGCGUAGGCGGCUCGUUAAGUCGGGGGUGAAAGUUUUCGGCCCAACCGGAAAAUUGCCUUUGAUACUGGCGAGCUUGAGUGCGUGAGGGGUAACCGGAACGAGUGGUGUAGCGGUGAAAUGCGUAGAUAUCACUCGGAAGGCCAACGGCGAAGGCAGGUUACUGGUACGCAACUGACGCUGAGGCACGAAAGCGUGGGGAGCAAACAGG
Molecule: ribosomal RNA, 253 nt
Filed under: uncultured bacterium
Lineage: Bacteria
Description: partial 16S ribosomal RNA
Rfam family: Bacterial small subunit ribosomal RNA
Source: RNAcentral